AUACGUAGGUGGCAAGCGUUGUCCGGAAUUAUUGGGCGUAAAGCGCAUGUAGGCGGUUUGGUAAGUCGGUCGUGAAAAGCGGGGCUUUAACCCCGUAGGGGAUUGGAAAUUCCUGACUUGGGUGCAGGGGAGGAAAAGGGAACUCCCAGGGUAGGGGGGAAAUGGGUAGAUAUUGGGAAGAACACCGGUGGCGAAGGCGCCUUUCUGGACUGUGUCUGACGCUCAGAUGCGAAAGCCAGGGUAGCGAACGGGAUUAGAUACCCCGGUAGUCCUGGCCGUAAACGAUGGGUACUAGGUGUGGGAGGUAUCGACUCCUUCCGUGCCGGAGUUAACGCAAUAAGUACCCCGCCUGGGGAGUACGGCCGCAAGGCUUAAACUCAAAGGAAUCGACGGGG
RNAcentral lists this ribosomal RNA (395 nucleotides) under uncultured bacterium. RNAcentral describes it as "partial 16S ribosomal RNA". It matches the Rfam family "Bacterial small subunit ribosomal RNA", at positions 523 to 918 of the family's 1533-position model. The record is from RNAcentral.